CUCAGGAUGAACGCUGGCGGCAUGCCUAAUACAUGCAAGUCGAACGAGAGGAAGGAAAGCUUGCUUUCCUGAAUCUAGUGGCGAACGGGUGAGUAACACGUAGGUAACCUGCCCAUGUGCCCGGGAUAACUUCUGGAAACGGAUGCUAAAACCGCAUGAUUUUGUUAUUAAAGGUUAAAAACACUGGUGGAUGGGCUUACGGUGCAUUAGCUUGUUGGUGAGGUAACGGCCCACCAAGGCGAUGAUGCAUAGCUGGUCUGAGAGGAUGAACAGCCACAUUGGGACUGAGACACGGCCCAGACUCCUACGGGAGGCAGCAGUAGGGAAUUUUCGGCAAUGGGGGAAACCCUGACCGAGCAACGCCGCGUGAGUGAAGAAGGUCUUCGGAUUGUAAAGCUCUGUUGUAAGGGAAGAAAUGUACUGUGAGAAACAGUACUUGACGGUACCUUACCAGAAAGCUACGGCUAACUACGUG
Molecule: ribosomal RNA, 475 nt
Filed under: uncultured bacterium
Lineage: Bacteria
Description: bacterial SSU rRNA
Rfam family: Bacterial small subunit ribosomal RNA
Source: RNAcentral